AUUUAAGUAGUUUAAGUAAAAUGUCGAUUUGUGGUGUCGGAGUUGUAGUAAAAUUUAUUGCCUUAAAUU
This 69-nucleotide transfer RNA is filed under the name Neogeoscapheus dahmsi. RNAcentral's name for it is "tRNA-His". Lineage: Eukaryota; Metazoa; Arthropoda; Insecta; Blattodea; Blaberidae. The record is from RNAcentral.